CUUCCUCUCCCCGCCACAACUUUUCACUCCUGUCUGUGUUCUGUUCUUUAGCAUACUUCUGUGCCAGGGAACCAGUUUCUAGAGUCCAGACAUGCUACUCUCCCUGCUCUGCAUCUGCUUUAACAAGACAGAAGACAGAAUGUGCUAAGUGCAUUUGCCAUCAGAACAGCAGGCUUCCAGCUGUACAGCUGUUGCUCCAACCAUGUACCAGAGAGCCAGAAAUCCCAGACAAAUGACUGAAGUCUCUCUAUCCAGACUUGUACCAGAAGGGAGCCUGGCCCAGGAGUUCCUCUGUGGAGAAAAACAAAGCAUUUGAACAUAACGGUCAAUUGGCUUGUUGAGUCCCAUCACAGACUGUCCUGGAAUAUAUUUAUUAAAGGUAAUUCUCUUAUUUUGGUAAGAUUGUAU
Molecule: long non-coding RNA, 408 nt
Filed under: Struthio camelus australis
Lineage: Eukaryota; Metazoa; Chordata; Aves; Struthioniformes; Struthionidae
Description: lncRNA (ENSSCUG00000003503.1)
Source: RNAcentral